Molecule: ribosomal RNA, 253 nt
Filed under: uncultured bacterium
Lineage: Bacteria
Description: partial 16S ribosomal RNA
Rfam family: Bacterial small subunit ribosomal RNA
Source: RNAcentral
UACGGAGGGAGCUAGCGUUGUUCGGAAUUACUGGGCGUAAAGCGCACGUAGGCGGCUUUCUAAGUCAGGGGUGAAAUCCCGGGGCUCAACCCCGGAACUGCCCUUGAAACUGGAUGGCUAGAAUCCUGGAGAGGCGAGUGGAAUUCCGAGUGUAGAGGUGAAAUUCGUAGAUAUUCGGAAGAACACCAGUGGCGAAGGCGACUCGCUGGACAGGUAUUGACGCUGAGGUGCGAAAGCGUGGGGAGCAAACAGG